CCUACGGGAGGCAGCAGUGAGGAAUAUUGGUCAAUGGACGAGAGUCUGAACCAGCCAAGUAGCAUGAAGGAUGACUGCCCUAUGGGUUGUAAACUUCUUUUAUAAAGGAAUAAAACGAGGCACGUGUGCCUUUUUGCAUGUACUUUAUGAAUAAGGAUAGGCUAACUCCGUGCCAGCAGCCGCGGUAAUACGGAGGAUCCGAGCGUUAUCCGGAUUUAGUGGGUUUAAAGGGAGCGUAGAUGGGUUGUUAAGUCAGUUGUGAAAGUUUGCGGCUCAACCGUAAAAUUGCAAUUGAUACUGGCAGUCUUGAGUACAGUUGAGGUAGGCGGAAUUCGUGGUGUAGCGGUGAAAUGCUUAGAUAUCACGAAGAACCCCGAUUGCGAAGGCAGCUUACUAAACUGUGACUGACAUUGAUGCUCGAAAGUGUGGGUAUCAAACAGGAUUAGAUACCCUAGUAGUC
RNAcentral lists this ribosomal RNA (460 nucleotides) under uncultured bacterium. Its description in RNAcentral is "partial 16S ribosomal RNA". It matches the Rfam family "Bacterial small subunit ribosomal RNA", at positions 338 to 795 of the family's 1533-position model. The record is from RNAcentral.